AUGGGCACAGCAGAUUGUCCUUUUCCUUCAGACAGGAGAACUUCCCGAAGAGCAAGAAGAAGUGGAAAGAGUAGCCCGGUAGUCAAGUAUGUACCAGUUUGUCGACAACACACUGUACAGAAGAAGACUCAACGGUGUGAAAUUGAAGUGUAUUCACCGGGAAGACGGACAAAAGCUGUUGGCAGAGAUACAUGGAGGCAUAUGUGGUCACCACAUUGGCGCAAGAGCACUUGCCGGCAAAGCGUUCCGGCAAGGUUUCUUUUGGCCGAUAGCCCUCCAGGAUGCAACUGCACAAGUAACCAAGUGUGA
RNAcentral lists this ribosomal RNA (309 nucleotides) under Triticum aestivum (bread wheat). RNAcentral's name for it is "partial small subunit ribosomal RNA". Lineage: Eukaryota; Viridiplantae; Streptophyta; Magnoliopsida; Poales; Poaceae. The record is from RNAcentral.